Molecule: ribosomal RNA, 1979 nt
Filed under: human gut metagenome
Description: bacterial LSU rRNA
Rfam family: Bacterial large subunit ribosomal RNA
Source: RNAcentral
GAAAAGCACCCCGGGAGGGGAGUGAAACAGUACCUGAAACCGUGCGCCCACGAGCAGUCGGAGCACCUUUAUGGUGUGACGGCGUGCCUUUUGUAGAAUGAGCCAGCGAGUCGCUGGCGCGGGGCGAGGUUAACCGAAAGGGAGCCGGAGCGAAAGCGAGCCUUAACAGGGCGACUUGAGUCCCGCGCCGCGGACGCGAAGCCGGGUGAGCUAUCCGUGGGCAGGCUGAAGCGGGGGUAAGACCCCGUGGAGGGCCGAACGCACGUCGGUUGAAAACGGCGGCGAUGACCUGCGGAUAGGGGUGAAAGGCCAAUCAAACCCGGAGAUAUCUCGUUCUCCCCGAAAUAGCUUUAGGGCUAGCGUCGCGCGUUCACCGCCGGAGGUAGAGCACCGGAUGGACGAGGGGGCUUCGCCGCCUACCGAAUCCAACCGAACUCCGAAUGCCGGCGGCCCAGAGCGCGGCAGUCAGAGCAUGUGGGCUAAGCUGUGUGCUCGAGAGGGAAACAGCCCGGACCGCCCGCUAAGGUCCCCAAGUUCCAGCCGAGUGGCAAAGGAUGUGCGUCCGCCCAGACAACCAGGAUGUUGGCUUAGAAGCAGCCAUCCAUUCAAAGAGUGCGUAACAGCUCACUGGUCGAGUGGACAUGCGCCGACAAUACACGGGGCUAAGCUGGACACCGAAGCGGCGGGAUUUUAAUUCAUUAGAAUCGGUAGGGGAGCUUCCCAUGGGCGGAGAAGCCGGAGGGCGACCGACGGUGGAGCGCAUGGGAGUGAGAAUGCUGGCAUGAGUAGCGAGAGACGAGAGAGUAACUCGUCCGCCGUGAACCCGAGGUUUCCUGGGCAAGGCUAAUCCUCCCAGGGUCAGUCGGGGGCUAAGGCGAGGCCGGAAGGCGUAGCCGACGCGCAGCAGGCAGACAUUCCUGCACCGCGCACGCGGCGCUACGACCGACGGGGCGACGGAUGGGGGUGGCUCGGCGGGGUUCUGGACGUCCCCGUGAUGGAGCGCGGCCCGCGGACCAGGGAAAUCCGGUCCGCAGAAGGGCGAGGCUCCGGACGAAGCGACUGAGCGAAGCGAGUGAGCCCGAGGUCCCUAGAAAAACCCCUAGGCAGGCGCGUGCGCGCCCGUACCGCAAACCGACACAGGUGGGUGGGUAGAACAUACCGAGGCGAUCGGGUCAACCAUGGUCAAGGAACUCGGCACAAUGGCCCCGUAACUUCGGGAGAAGGGGUGCCCGCGCGUACGUGAACCGGCUUGCCCGGGGAGCGGAGGCGGGCCGCAGUGGAGAGGCCCAAGCGACUGUUUACCAAAAACACAGGACUCUGCAGAAGCCGCAAGGCGACGUAUAGGGUCUGACGCCUGCCCGGUGCCGGAAGGUCACGCGGAGGAGUUAGCUUUCGAGCGAAGCCCCGAAGCCAAGCCCCGGUAAACGGCGGCCGUAACUAUAACGGUCCUAAGGUAGCGAAAUUCCUUGUCGGGUAAGUUCCGACCUGCACGAAAGGCGCAACGACUUGGGCGCUGUCUCGACCAUGGACCCGGUGAAAUUGCACUGGUCGUGAAGAUGCGACUUACCCGCGGAAGGACGGAAAGACCCCGUGAACCUUCACUGCAGCUUGGCAUUGGCCGCUGGUCCCGCGUGUAGAGGAUAGGCAGGAGGCACAGAUCCGGAGGCGCCAGCCCCCGGGGAGCCGCCCUUGGAAUACUGCCCUCGCGCGACCGGCGUCCUAACCCGAGGCCGUCAACCGGCUCGGGGACCGUGCCAGGCGGGCAGUUUGACUGGGGCGGUCGCCUCCUAAAGGGUAACGGAGGCGCGCGAAGGUCCGCUCGGGACGGUCGGCAACCGUCCUUUUGAAUGCAAGAGUACAAGCGGGCUUGACUGCGAGGCCCACAAGCCGAGCAGGUGCGAAAGCAGGCUCUAGUGAUCCGGCGGCCCCGAGUGGGUGGGCCGUCGCUCAACGGAUAAAAGGUACUCCGGGGAUAACAG